RNAcentral lists this ribosomal RNA (200 nucleotides) under uncultured bacterium. RNAcentral's name for it is "partial 16S ribosomal RNA". It matches the Rfam family "Bacterial small subunit ribosomal RNA", at positions 30 to 228 of the family's 1533-position model. The record is from RNAcentral.
AUUGAACGCUGGCGGAAUGCUUUACACAUGCAAGUCGAACGGCAGCACGGGAGCUUGCUCCUGGUGGCGAGUGGCGAACGGGUGAGUAAUAUAUCGGAACGUACCUAGUAAUGGGGGAUAACUAUCCGAAAGGAUAGCUAAUACCGCAUACGCCCUGAGGGGGAAAGCGGGGGAUCGUAAGACCUCGCGUUAUUAGAGCG